UUAGAGUUUGAUCAUGGCUCAGGAUGAACGCUAGCGGCAGGCUUAACACAUGCAAGCCGAGGGGGAAGGCACUUUCGGGUGUGCCGGCGACCGGCGCACGGGUGCGUAACGCGUAUGCAACCUACCUAUUACAGGGGGAUAGCCCAGAGAAAUUUGGAUUAACACCCCAUAAUAUAUUUAAGAGGCAUCUUUUGAAUAUAAAAGUUCCGGCGGUAAGAGAUGAGUAUGCGUGACAUUAGCUAGUUGGUAAGGUAACGGCUUACCAAGGCAACGAUGUCUAGGGGUUCUAAAAGGAUGAUCCCCCACACUGGUACUGAGACACGGACCAGACUCCUACGGGAGGCAGCAGUGAGGAAUAUUGGGCAAUGGAGGCAACUCUGACCCAGCCAUGCCGCGUGCAGGAAGACGGUUCUAUGAAUUGUAAACUGCUUUUAUUCGGGAAUAAACUUAGCUACGUGUAGUUAACUGAAUGUACCGAAAGAAUAAGCACCGGCUAACUCCGUGCCAGCAGCCGCGGUAAUACGGAGGGUGCAAGCGUUAUCCGGAUUUAUUAGGUUUAAAGGGUCCGUAGGCGGGAACUUAAGUCAGUGGUGAAAUCCUGCAGCUCAACUGUAGAACAGCCAUUGAUACUGAAAGUCUUGAGUACAGUUGAAGUAGGCGGCAUGUGUAAUGUAGCGGUGAAAUGCUUAGAUAUUACAUAGAACACCGAUUGCGAAGGCAGCUUACUAAGCUGUUACUGACGCUGAGGCACGAAAGCGUGGGGAGCGAACAGGAUUAGAUACCCUGGUAGUCCACGCCGUAAACGAUGAUUACUCGUUGUGUGCAAUAUACUGUACGUGACUGAGCGAAAGCAUUAAGUAAUCCACCUGGGGAGUACGUCGGCAACGAUGAAACUCAAAGGAAUUGACGGGGGCCCGCACAAGCGGAGGAACAUGUGGUUUAAUUCGAUGAUACGCGAGGAACCUUACCCGGGCUUAAAUGGGAAACGACAGGUUUGGAAACAGACCCUUCUUCGGACGUUUUUCAAGGUGCUGCAUGGUUGUCGUCAGCUCGUGCCGUGAGGUGUCGGGUUAAGUCCCAUAACGAGCGCAACCCCUAUCGUUAGUUGCCAACAGGUCAUGCUGGGGACUCUAACGAGACUGCCAUCGUAAGGUGAGAGGAAGGUGGGGAUGACGUCAAAUCAGCACGGCCCUUAUGUCCGGGGCUACACACGUGUUACAAUGGUAACUACAAAGGGCAGCCACCUGGUGACAGGGAGCUAAUCCUAAAAAGUUAUCUCAGUUCGGAUCGUAGUCUGCAACUCGACUACGUGAAGUUGGAUUCGCUAGUAAUCGCGCAUCAGCCAUGGCGCGGUGAAUACGUUCCCGGGCCUUGUACACACCGCCCGUCAAGCCAUGGAAGCUGGGGGUGCCUAAAGUCCGUAACCGUAAGGAUCGGCCUAGGGCAAAACUAGUAACUAGGGCUAAGUCGUAACAAGGUAGCCAAGGGCGAA
This 1492-nucleotide ribosomal RNA is filed under the name uncultured prokaryote. Its description in RNAcentral is "partial 16S ribosomal RNA". It matches the Rfam family "Bacterial small subunit ribosomal RNA". The record is from RNAcentral.